CCAUGUGCUGUGCCUGAGACAAACUGUGCAAACGCUACUGUGCUCUUCGUCCUCCUGGCUACCGGCACUGCUACUGUACAUGCUGUAGGGGAAAUGUUCUCUCCAGGGGCCAGUGGAGGGCCAAGGGGCUUGAGUUGACAACACUGAUAACCAAGAUCAGCUGCUCGACAGGUUGCAGAUCCUCUCAAUAUUCCGCAGUCUCUCCCUCUGUAAGACAAACAAAUAAAGAGAGUCUCAUCUUCCUGCAGUUGGUCCAAAAGUCUGAACUAUCCCCAAAACAUAUAGCUUGGACUAAAUUUAGGUCUGUUGGUUCACACCAUGGUCGAAGGCACCUUUCACAACUGUUAUUUUGGUUUGGACUAAACUGAAAAGUCUCAGGGUCUGUACCAAACAAGAUGUGAAAGCCCCCUGGGGUUCAACAAAGGCUCAAAGUUAACAGACCAAAGUCACGCCUGUUGCUGUUCUUUUUUGGUGUAACUGAGUUGGG
Paralichthys olivaceus (Japanese flounder) is the source of this 487-nucleotide non-coding RNA. NCBI's taxonomy places the organism in Eukaryota, Metazoa, Chordata, Actinopteri, Pleuronectiformes, Paralichthyidae. The record is from RefSeq and is a predicted model, not a curated record.